RNAcentral lists this ribosomal RNA (254 nucleotides) under uncultured prokaryote. RNAcentral describes it as "partial 16S ribosomal RNA". It matches the Rfam family "Bacterial small subunit ribosomal RNA", at positions 524 to 776 of the family's 1533-position model. The record is from RNAcentral.
UACAGAGGGUGCGAGCGUUGUUCGGAAUUAUUGGGCGUAAAGGGCGCGUAGGCGGUGUUGUAAGUCACCUGUGAAACCUCUGGGCUUAACUCGGAGAGGCCACUCGAUACUGCUAUGACUAGAGUCCGGUAGGGGACUAUGGAAUUCCUGGUGUAGCGGUGAAAUGCGCAGAUAUCAGGAGGAACACCGGUGGCGAAGGCGGUAGUCUGGGCCGGAACUGACGCUGAGGAGCGAAAGCGUGGGGAGCGAACAGG